AUUGGAUUGAGCUUAUAAAAAUCAUACGCACUAAAUUCAUGAUCAUCAUGUCAGGUCGUUUUCUUUGGCGUUCCGAAUAUCAUCCUCAAUCGAUUUCUCGAAGCGCGUGCUCGACGUACCUCCCAGCUCUUCCUGGACCAAGAUAUGCAUCAGAAGCCUUUCAACUAUUUGGACAGUGAGACAAACUAGAGAAUAUUCCAAAUCUUUGGAUGGUGAGAGAAAGGAAAUUGAUAUACAGAAUAUACUAAGGGAUAUCAAAUACUUGGGUGCCUCCAAUAUAUCCUGGAAGGAGAGAGCAGAUGGAGAACCAGAAUGUGUUUGCAUUGGGUUGAACGAUAAGGAUUCUUUGAGAUUUUUGGCGAUCCUUGAAAUCAGCAAAAUCAUCAAGCUGUCUAACUUGUUGCAUUUCCUUCAGAAAAGCCUCCUAAAAAGCAUACAAUACCACUUAGUGGCAAAAGUGGCGACGAAAAGUCAGAAGCAAAGAGGAUUGAUUCUUGGCCUCUUUGCCAAUAAUGCUGCAAAGAAAAAUAGUAAACCGCAGAAGAUAAAAACAGAAGACAAUAAUAUUGAAGGCAAGUGAAAGUCAUUUUAAGAAAGGUGUGCUGAAUGUGAAACAUCUGCUGGCACCAACUCCAAUUAAAGCGCAUGAUGCUUUCCUCCAAGAAGAUUGGUAAAGGAAUGAAGGGAAAGGAGAGGAGCUGAUGGAGGGAAAUGUUUCUAUCACCUAGCCUCCAAUUUGAGUUGUUUUCACUUCUUAGACAGUUCAUACAAGUGCAGUUCAGGUUGUUCUCAGGGCAAAACCUGGUCCAUUCUCAGUUUGCUGGCAAGUGUAGAGCUGCUUGUUUUAUCUCCAAACAGUUCAGCUUUAGAGGCGGAGAAAGCUUUAUAGGCGGAGAAAGCAAAUGAGGAUGGUAUUGGUAUAGAGUGAAGAAAAAAUCAUAUACGACUUAUGAGGCAAUGCUUCACCAUUUUGAAGCCACAGGCAUCAGUGCUUUGAAAGCCGAGAUGGCAACAUAAGCAAAUGGGUUGAGUGUAACUAUUUGCGGACGUUGUGGCGGCAGGUGCUGCUGUUGCUGAGGGCUCUGAAGGUGGGGACCUUUUGGGAGAGUGGGAAGGGAGGCUGAUUGAGAGGUCCAAAUUGAGGUCUGGGAAGCGGUCCUCGUCGACGCUGGCGCCGGAGCUCCGGCCCUCGUCACCGGAGUUUGCGGGCUUGGCAGCGAUGGUGGCGGGGGCCUCUUGUUGCUGGGUGCCGGCGAAGGUGGCGCAGCCGUUGAGCGGCCGGUGAGUUUGGGGGUCUAGGCCUCGGCUCAGGAGCUUCCUCUUGAUGUGGGUGUUCCAGUAGUUCUUGAUCUCAUUGUCAGUCCUCCCAGGUAGCCUCCCGGCUAUCAAAGACCAUCUGUCACAAUUAUUGAAGAAAAAAUUAACAAUCACAUCAUAAAAAUUAUUUUUUUAAUAUUGUUUUAAAAUAGGAAAAAUAUCAUUAAAAUCUCCUCUCACAACUUCCAUCCAAA
This is a long non-coding RNA of Elaeis guineensis (African oil palm), 1511 nucleotides long. RefSeq lists it as uncharacterized. Lineage: Eukaryota; Viridiplantae; Streptophyta; Magnoliopsida; Arecales; Arecaceae. The record is from RefSeq and is a predicted model, not a curated record.